Molecule: long non-coding RNA, 12000 nt
Organism: Acinonyx jubatus (cheetah)
Lineage: Eukaryota; Metazoa; Chordata; Mammalia; Carnivora; Felidae
Exons: 5
Source: RefSeq, a predicted model, not a curated record
GGUGUGAAAACUGGAGUCAAUGCUCCUCUGUAUCUCGUGUGUCGUGUGAUAUAUUUAGAUGUGGGGCUAAAUAAUAAUUUAGUAUUUUUAAUAUCAAAAUUUUUCAAAAUAAGGGAUCUAAGUGACAUUGGCAAAUACCAUGCUAAAAAUCUUAUGUUUUGUGCAGUGUCAAAGACCAUUUCUCUUUGCAGACAGUGUGAGACUUAUUGAAUUUUUGUUGCUCUCUAGUGCUUAGUUUUUACAAGUGACCCACUGGGACUAAAUUCAAAUAUGUAAGAGGACAUAUAUGGCCAACUGAUUUUCAACAAAGAUGCAAGGCCAUUCAAGAGGAGAGGACAGUCUGGCAUCUGCAUACAGAGGAAUGAAGUUGGACUUACCUUAAGUCACAUACAAGAAAUUAGCUCCAAAUGGAAUGGAAGGCAGGAACUCAGAUAAUUACACUCUAGUGUUCAUAGCAUUAUUUGUGCCUAUAGUCAAAAAAUGGAAUCAACCCAAGUGUCCAUCGAUGGAGAAGUAGAUAAACAAAAUAUAGCAUCUGAUACAAAGGAAUAUUAUUCAGCCUCAAAAGGGAAUGGAAUUCUGAUGCACGCUAGAACAUGGAUAAAUCUUGAAAACAUUAUGCUAAGUAAAAUAAGCCAGACACUGAAGGAUAAACAGUAUAGGAGUCCUCUUAUAUGAAUUACCUAGAAUAGACAAAUUCUUAGAGACAGAAAGUAGACACAUUGAAAAUGCACUUAAUGUCACUGAAUUGGACACUUAAAAUUGUUAAAGUUAUAGAUUGUAUUUUAUGUAUAUUUUAUAUAGGUUAUAUUUAUUGUGCAUAUUUUAUGCAUACACAUAUGUAUAUUUAUAUAGAGUAUAUAUUUCAUAUAUGAAAUAUAUUCAUAUAUGUAUUUUAUAUAUAUUACAUUUUAUAUAUUUUAUGCAUAAUAUAUAACAUAUUAUAUAUACACAGAAGGGGAUAAAAUACUUCUGGACAAAGAAAAGGGUAGGUAACAGCUGAAAUGUAAAUCUAAAUAUAGACAUUGGCUAAAACUGUAGGGACUACCACCUUUAACAGACGGUGAACAUCUUUGAAGGGAGAAAAAUUCUUGUUUUAGGUGUAUGCACAAUUAGUGGGAUAUUGGUUAGCUUUGCUAAAUGGUGUCAACUUGGCUUUCCACGAGAGUCUGAUGAUAACAUCUCAAGACAAUGUGACCUUUUGGAGUCUGAGCUGGCAGAUUGGCUCUGUGUGCUUAAUUAUAAAUACAACUAUUAGCACAAUGCCAUCCCAUGAUAUGUGCUCAAUAAAUACCUGUUGAAUGGCACGCCUAACCCUACCAAAAGUCACAAUAGUUUACUUUACCUUUCAGGAUUGUUGAGGAGUUAUGUAUUGCACAUUUCUUCCCAGUCGUAUGUUUUAUAAAAUGGAAAAAUAAUCAAAGGCACUGGAAUAUUCCAUUUUAAAUUGAUAGAAAUUUGGGAACACGAUUGUUUUGGAUUAGGAUGUGCAUCUAAUCCUGCAAUUAGGAUGAGGCUGUUAUUGUGAUCAGCCACUUAACUUUUCUAGGCUGCCCCUCUGAACAGCCACCCAUAUUCGUAUUGAAUUUAUGUCAGGGUCCAUCAAGCAAACAGGAAAAGAAGGGUACAGAAAAAAAAAUUCUUCAGAUUAAUCUGAAUGAAGUUGGAAUAGAAAAAAAUAUAUAGACACUUGCUUAAAUUAUUUUAAAGGUAACUUGUUAUUGAUUACGUUUACAGUAAGAAAAAAAUUUUGAAAAUACAAUAAAGAUGUAUUGAAUACUGACUUUAAAAAAUAUACAUGUAUACAUUUUACAUUCCUUCAGCCUGGAGCGUUUGGCUCCCUCUGUCUUUGUUACUUAUUACUUUUAAAAUUACAAAGGACAAGAUGAAAAGGACUUUACUAUAGCGUUUUUGACUGAGUCUAAAGUAUGUGGUUGUAUAUUUGACAGGGAAGGGCUGCGGAUCUGAAACUUCACAUUAAGGAAUUGGUUUUCCUUUUUACCUGUGUUCAAAAUAUUUGGAAUUAGACAUUCAGUACCACGGAGUGGCUUCAGAAAAACUUUGUUGAUUGAUUCCUUUAAUAGACAUUUGAGGAAAAGUAUAGACCCACUGCUUUACUAGCCCCACAUGUCCUUUCAGAGCUCAGGGUGGAGAGAGAAAGAGAGAGAGAGUGAGAGAGAGAGGAAGAGAGAGAGCAGUAAGCAGACAAUCAUAACACAGUCGACCAAGUGCUGUAGGAAGUCUAAGUGCAGAGGGCUUUGGAAGAACUGUCUUUGGAAGGGAAGGAGAAAGCUUUGCAAAGCAUGUGUGGCAGGUGUUUUGGGGGGAGGGGCAUUCAUCACCUCCUCUUUGCCUACCUCUGACUCCUUGCCAGACAGGCACUGGUUCUGGUCCACUGGCGGUGUGAAUGGGGCCUCUCAGCGUUUCUGUCAGAGAGCUUUCACUCAUCCAUCAGGGCUUGAAAGUAUGGUGGGAACUGCCCAGGUAGUUAAUGCCCCCAAGGGCGACCUCCCACUGGUGGGGGAAUGAAAGCCAAUAGGUAAAUGCUCUGUCUCUCCACUUUUACAAUAACAAUUCUAAGGGGCGCCUGGGUGGCUCAGUUGGUUAGACAUCUGACUUUGGCCCAGCUCAUGAUCUCACAGUUGGUGAGUUUGAGCCUCGCAUCAGGCUCCGCGCUGACUGUGCAGAGCCUGCUUGGGAUUCCCUCUGUCUCUCUCUCUCUUUCUCUCUCUCUGUCCCUGCCAUGCUCUCUCUCUUUCUCAAAAAUAACUAAACUAAACUAAACUAAACUAACAAUUCUGAUAAACAUCCUGUUUCUGGGGGAACAUCCAGCUUCCGGCAAUCUCUUCGCAAACCAAUCAUCUGUGCUCAAGUGCUGGAUUCAGGCUCUGUUUUAGAAGAACCCAAAGGAGGACAGAAGGUGGCAGUUGAGCUGGGAGGAGUCGGUUGAGGGGAGGAGUCGGUUGAGGUUGUGUGUGGGCUCAGGGGGCAAGGUGCCUUCCACGUGGACAGCACUACAGCUGUAAAGUUACCCAGGACCAGGAGUGGUCCUUGGAGGCCUGUAAGAUGAUAGGAUGUGUGGGGAGCAGUGGGAACGUCGGAGUAUGCUGGGCUGAGGGAUCUAGGAAGGUAGAGAGGUCAUAGAUGUCUGUAGGGGUCAAUCAAGAAAAGCCUUAUUAGCAUGAGAAGGAUUCGGGACUCUCGUCAGUGAGGUCAGGUAACAUGCUCGGCCUGGAUGCCAUGUUCAGAGGUUAGAGACAGGAGACAGGGAAUUAGGAGGAUUUUAACAGUCCAGUUGAGAGAGGAUGAAUGAGGGGGCUUCCGGUGUGAAGGGGGAAGACGUGAGAGUGUGGAGAAAUGUGGAAGCGGCAGGCUCGGUGGACUCAGUGGUGACCUGGAGGACUGAAGGAGACCGAAGCCAAAGUUGUCACCCCGUGUUUCGGCUUGGCAGGCCAGGUGGAUGACGAUGCCUCCAUGCGUAGAAACCUAGUCCUCAGUGUGAUUAUAUCAAGAAGCAGCGCCUUUGGGAGGUGAAUAGGUCACGAGGGUAGAGCCCUCAUGAAUGGGACUAGUAGCCUUCCAGAAGAGCCCCCCGAUGGCUCCCUUGCCCCAUUCACCUGUGGGAAAUGCAGCCAGUGGAUGGCCUCUAUGAACCAGAAAUUGGGGUCUCACUGACCCUGAAUCUGCUGGUGCCUUGAUCUCGGUCUUCCCCACCUCCCAAAACAUGAGAAAUCGGUGUCGUUCAACUCACACCAUCUAUAUUAUUUUUGUUACAGCAGCCCAAAUGGACUCAGACACCUCCUUGAUGGGGAGGGUUGGGCUGUCAGGUAAAUUUAGCAAAGUUGUUGAGCGCAGGGCAUGGAGGGAGUUGAAUGCUGUAUGAAGGCGUUUGGCUCUGUAAACCUGCCUUUCCAUGUGGGGGUUCUUACAGAAGAGAAAGAAGGUCAGAGAAUAUGACUUAGAAAUUUAAAACACUAAUCUAUUUGCUAUGGAGAGAGAGAGAGAGUGAAAGAGAGGUAGAGAGAGGGAGAGAGAGAAAGGGAGAAAGAAAGAAAGUGAAGGAGAGGGGGUGGGGAAGAGAGAGAGAGAGAGAGAGAGAGGAUGAAAGAGAGGGAGAGAGACGGAAGCUGAAUAGGGAAGGAGAAAGUCCCAAGUGAGGAUAUGAUUUUAUAUGAAGUCUAGCUUCAGUCUGAUCCAUAAAGUCAUUCUGCCUGAACCCUUUGAAUCCUAUAUUAAUCAGUCAUUGGCCAUCUGGAUGCGGAAGGCUGGGGGCACGCUCCAGUGAGAGUAAAUUUUCUGUGUCCACUUGGUGAAUGUUUUUGGGUGAGGUUAACAUCUAAAUGUGUGAGUUUUGAGUAAAGCAGAUGGCUCUUCAUAAUGUGGGUGGGCCUUGCACAAUCAGUCGAAGGCCUGAAUACAACAAAGAAAUCCAGCCUCCCAAACAAGAGGGAAUCCUCCAGCACAUUGCCUGUGGACUUCAUCUGCACCAUCGUCUCUCUUGGGUCUCCGCCUGCCGGCCUUCGUACUGAAACUGUGCCACCAGCUUUCCUAGCUUCCAGGCUGCUGGCACACUGCAGAGUUAGACUUGCUGGCCUCCAUGAUCGUGUGGACCGAUUCCUUAUGCGAAAUUUCUACAUACACGUUCUCUGUGUUCUCCUUCCCUGGAGAAUAUUGAUUAACCCACCCCCUGCAGGUCUCUGUCUCAGAGGAAGCGGCUCCCGUCUGCCAAAGGCAAGUUUUCUGCAAAGGUCACAGGUAUAAGCAGCAACUGGUGGCUGGAUGCCCCCCCCGCCCGGGCGAGGGGGCCCUGCUGGAGCACCUGUUUGGACAGCCCUUUUAUGGAGUGCUUGGACGAUGAUGUAGGAAUAAGUAGCAAAUCAAAUUUAUUUAGCUGCGAGGUAAGUUUAUGGCCCUUCACAAAUCUCUCCUCCAUACUCUGUCUGCUCUUGCGGACCUCCUUUGAGUAACAUUUAUUAGCGGGGCAGCACAGGAUGGCCCUGUAAGCUUCUCGCGAUCUGAUGUCAAAGAGAGAUAGAUGUCCCAAGGCCAACUCUUGGCUUAUCUUCUGAGCCAUGUGACUGACUUUCUGAGUUUGGCUUCCGCGUCUGUCUGACAAAUAUGGCGGAUAACCUCUGUGUUAUGAAGAUUAAACCGAAAGCUGUGGUGAAAAGCAAAUGAAUGUUACCUGUGACUACUGCACUCCUCUGUGCCAGGCUGUGAGUUAAGCAACUAAAAAAGGUUACCACCUUAAAUUGCCACGAGAGUUCCGUAACCGAGAUAGUAUUCAUCGUAUUUCCUAACAUGGAAACUGAGGUGCAGAAAAAUGAAGACGUGUGCCCAAGGUCACCGGGCCAGGAAGUGAAGGAACUGACAUGGUUCCCAGCAUGUAUCGGGAAGUAGAGCCCUGACAUAGUGUUUAGCUUCCGAGACAUAGGAUUCUAGAAGUGUUGUGACGUGAUUGUCACUCCGGAAGCAGGAGAUCUUGCUCCAAGGGACCUGAGGCUAUAGGCCACUGUAGUGAUGCUCAUGGCCGUUGGGAACGUUGCAGCAAGGGAGGUGAGGGGUGGGCAUGUCAAGGACUCCAGCCAUCUUGAGUCCGACCCAUCCAGUGCUCCUUGUGUAUUCCCACUGCCUCCCGAGCACAGUGGCUUGGGGAGGCGAGGAAAUGGAAUUGAGAGGAAAACGAUACUUGUAAACUCGAUUUUGGUAGGUCAUUUUGUUAUAUUAUCAUUAAGAUGGGAAUCUUUGGCUUGAAAAAGUCAUAAACUGAAAACCUGCUUCAUCUCUGAGUUUUCACAGAUUUCAAGGAUUUGGUCCAAAUCCAGAGCCUCGAGACAAUAAAAACGCUGCUGAAUGGUUACUGAGGAGAAUGGCUGAACUCUCAGUGAGCUACUUCGACGGAGGAACCGAAUCGUUUGUAAUCCAUGAGACUGAAGAAGAGCCAUCUGUGGGUUUCAACCUAAACAGUAGUUGGACUCAGGCCAACCAAAGAUGCCUUUUUGAUGCAGUUUCAAAUGCCUCCAGCAGAUCAAACUGAAAAGUCAUUGAAGAAACAACUUUGUAACAUGGAGGGCAAAGAAUCACCCAAAGAAACAAUUUAGAGGCAAAUGGAGAAUCUUUUCCACAAGUAAUUAAUACCUUUAAAAGCAUGUUUGAAAUAAUUAGUGGAUGAAAUGAUCAGAGCGGAAAACACAUUUUUAUGAAAGAACAAAUUUACAGGUGAAUGUGACCAAUGAAAAUAUUUGAAGUUAAACAAUGAAAAUCAAGUGAUUGAUACAGCUCUUUUUUGGUGAACAGUUUGGAGUUCUGCUGACUGGUUAAAAGGAAUGGCCAUCUACCCCAACUAGUGAGGGAGCGUGUUUUAAUCCACUAAUGUUGCAUAUUGAUCUUGGAAGAUUUGCAAUGUGAUACGUGCGAUAGAUAUUUUUGCAGCUGGUACCAAGUGUAUCCAGUACUAAUAUUUAUUUUAUUAUUCAUUACAUUCUUGUACUUUCCAAUUUUUAGGCAUAAAAUUUGAUAUUUACCCUUGAAAUACUGAAAAAAAAAUCAAUUUUCCUACCCUUUGGAAGUCUAGGAGAACGCUUUCUCUUUUGGUUGCAGUGUGCAUUGGUUUCCUAUUGCUGUUGUAACAAAUUACAGCAAAUAAACCAUGUAAAUUGAUUAUCUUACCAUUCGAAUUCUCACUGAGUUAAAAUCAAGAUGUUGGCAGGACUGUGUCCAUUCUGGAGGCCCUAGGAGAUUGUUUCCUUGUCUUUUCCAGCUUGUAGAGACUAUCCACAGCCCAUGGAUCAUGUCGUCAAAGCCAGCCUUGUUACGUCCCUGUGACCCUUCUUCCAUGGUUCCAUCUCCCUCUGCCUCUCACCUGAGCAGGCAAAGUCUCUGGCUAGGGACUCGUGUGCCGAGGUUGGGCCCAUCCAGAUAAUCCAGGCCAACCUUCCACCUCAAAACCCUAAAUGUCUGCAAAGUCAUUUUUGCAAGGUAAAGUUACAAGUUCACAGGUUCUAAGGAUUUGGAUGCAAACAUCUUUGGGGGAUGAAUAGUCUGCCUAUAUGUGCAGAAAGGUGAGGAAAGUCGACAGCAACAGCAGUUGUUGCCUUUUAUUUUAUUUGGUGCCUCUUUUUGUGCCCUCUACAAAAGUGACCACGUAUGGAUAUAUAGUCAGCACCCAACAAUUAUUUGUUGGGUAACUGAAUGAAAGAUUGAUCGAUUCUCAUCUAUUUUCAUCAGACGGCAUUAUUUAGAGCAUGUAGCUGAAGUGGGAGGGCAUUUCAGGACUGGUCACCACCAGAGACAUGGGAAGGUUUUACAGGGGUUUACUGACAGGUGUAAGCAAAUCCCGGGCUUGGUAUGACGUUUUGUCAGAGGCGUGGGGGUAUAAUCAAACUAAGUGUCAAGUGUUCAGGUAAAGUCACAGUUCACACUCAGAGGUCUGAGUGCAAGCCUUGUACAUCUGUUCCCUGAAGGAAACAGUGAGCAGAAGGUACAUGAUUCUGAGUAUUCCUUCAAUCUGUAAAAUACAGGGAAGGGACCAAACAAAGCUCUGUGCACACAGGGCACCUAGAGUAAUCUGGCGUCAUGGAUGAUUCUUCUUGGCCACGGUGAACAGGGUUGUGAAGUUUCUUGUAUCUCCUGAGGAUUCGUGGUCAUGAACCUUGGGUUUGAGAGUAAGCCAAGCACACACCUGCCUUUGUUCCUACUUUAGAGAUGGAAACCUGAAGGGAAAAGUGUUGGGUUUUGGACCAUCGGACCUGCAUUCAGAUCUUGCAUCACUGGGUGACAUAAUGUAUUUAUAAAAUAUGAUAAUAUCUACCUUAUGAAUCAGGGGAGGGGUUAAAGAUAUCUUUAUAAGGCUUUAGUGCAGGAACAAUAAAGCAGCCACUCCAUAAAUAACAGGUUCUCACUAUUAUUGUUCCUAUAAAACUUCUCACCCAGCUUCUCAUUUUGUCAGUGUUGUGUUUUUUAAAAAUAGUAUUCCUCUCAGAUAAUUAAGGGACUUAGCUAGUUAAGAGUUUAGGUUCUGGAUUUAUUCAUUCAUUUACUUUCAUUUUUUUCACACAUUCCAGCAUUUUCUAUUACUGAUUAUUCACCGUGCAGUGGGCUGUGAAUACGAUAAUGAAGAGAACAGAUGUGGUCUUUUGCCUCAUAGUGCUUUCACUCUAAUGGAAGGGAGAGGCCAUUAAGGAAACAAACAGAUUAAAGUUCAAAUCCUGAUGCUUCAACUUAUCAGGUGUGUGGUCCUGGGCAGUUGACUGAACCUCUCUGAAUCUGUUUCCUGGGGUUAACAGAGCAUAACUUGAAACAUUAAAUUACAUCAUGCAUAGAAAUGUUUAGCAUAGUCCUUGGCACAUAAGAAUUAUUUUUUUUUCAUUUUUAAAAUUAUUAUUUAGUACCUAAAGAAGUCAUGGUACUAUUUUCUUUUGAUAUUUUUUCCGGUUUAUUUAUUUUGAGAGAGAGAGAGAGAGAGAGAGAGAGAGAGAGAGAGAGAGAGAAUCCCAAGCAGGCUCCAUGCUGUCAGCACAGAGCCCGAUGCAGGGCUCGAACCCAUGAACUGUGAGAUCAAGACCUGAGCUGAAACCAAGAGUGGGACACUUAACUGACUGAGCUACCCAGGUGCCUUGAUGUGGUCCUAUUUUUGAUGAAGAAGUUAUACCUUUUAUAGGGAAAGCACCAAAUAGCAUAUAAACUUUUAAAAAAGUGCAGCUGUGUUCUAAUCUUCCCUCCCUGAUUCCUUAAGCUCAGUAUUUUAGGGAAUAGUACUAAUAUGAUGGCUCUUUUUUUUUUAUAAAUUUUAUUAAAAUUUUUUUUUACAUUUCUUUAUUUUUGGGAGACAGAGAGAGACAGAGCAUGAGCCGGGAAAGGGCAGAGAGAGAAGGAGACACAGAAUCCAAAGCAGGCUCCAGGCUCUGAGCUGUCAGCACAGAGCCCGAUGCGGGGCUUGAACCCACAAACCACGAGAUCACGACCUGUGCCGGAGUCGGCCGCUCAACCGACUGAGCCACCCAGGCGCCCCUAAUAUGAUUGCUCUUAUACCUACAUGUAUUCCUAUUACUGUUCUUCCUACUCACACUUUACUAGGGUUUUGCUCUGUGUCCGUCACUAUUCUAAUCCCAGUGCCUGCGUUGCGAUACUUCAUCCGCAUCACAGCCUGUAGGAUGGAUCAGGGGCUGUUACAGAGCGCAUUUCACCACUGGGAGAAUGGAGGCAAGAGGGUGAAACCCUAGGUCUACAUCAAGGGUGUGACGGGCCAGAACUCUAACCCAGGUGUUAUGACUCUGGGUCCAACACACCUCACAAGGACGCAGGAUUUGGGAUAACUUUCCAGGGAGGCCAAUUUCAUGGUGGAGGAUGAUGUGACACUAGAAGAGGAAUAUAGCCCUGAGAUUUUCACACUGCUGCUCGAAGAGAAAAGAUAUAGGACUCAUUUGCUCAUAUGUUCCUUAUUUGAUCAGGCUCUGAAUGCCUACCCAGUGCUGGGUGCUGUUCAAGGAGAUGAAAUCUGUGCCCUCAGGGAGCACUCAGUCCAUUGUGGGGCAGGUAGUGACUAGGAACAGGUUGUGAAAAUAGAGUGUGCUGCCUCAUCCAACAGGUCUGGGUAUGUGGUCCUCAGGGAAGUUGAGGACAUCUCAUCUAGCCUUGGGUGGCCAGGAGAGGUCUCCUAGAGGAAAUAAGUUGUGGGGAAAAUUCAAGAUUUGCUUCCUAGAACCUUAGAAAAUUAUUUACUAAGAUAUGCAGAUGAACGUAUAUCGUAAUAGUUGAACAUACGGGCUUUGGAGUUAAAACUGCCUGCUUUCAAACUCUAUGUCUGCCAUUUUCUGAUGUUUAGACCUUUUCCUCAUUAAGCGGUUGGAGCCCGCAUCUGAAAAAUGGGAACAAUGAAAAAAAAGUACCUCUUUUUCUUUGAAUGGUAGUGAAGAUUAUAUCUAAAACUGUUGGCGCAAAGCCUGGUAUGUGGUAAAUGUUCAUUUAUUAUCAUUGCCCUUGUCAUUGGCAUCAUCAUUAUCAUUAUCAGUGUUUUUUUUAAGAAAUAUGAAAUGGCAUGAUAGGUAACAAGGGGAUUAUUUUGGUUGUUGUUGCUGAAUUAUUAAGAAACAUAGUACGUUGGCCCUAAUUUUGGGGCUGGAAAAAUUUCAGACAAGUUACAAGUCCCUGUGAUCUUAUACAAAUAUAUAUUACUGGAAUUGAUGUGUGCAAAGAGCACAGUUUGUUUUUACCCUAGUUGAAAAUGUGCAAUGACAUAAUGUUACCCUUUAAGAUAACAGAAGCCAGCUGCCCCAUUCAUAUUUAAAUAUGAGUCACCUUCCAGGGAGACUUGCAAGAUUCCAUGUGCCAAGCUGGAAAAGUAAAACUUGCUAGCAAGGCAGGAAAGAAUAAAUUCACACUUGGAAGUUGGUAUUAUAGGCUAGAGGCCCCAUCUAGCCAAUUCCUUUAUGGAGCAGAAAAUAGCACCCUAGUGGCCAGAGAGAAGAACUGUAACACCAUGGCAUCAUGGUCCAUGUUUUGGAAGCAUGGAACCUUCCUCACCUUUGGGGAAUCGUUUCCACUUAAUUAAAAAUAUUUUGUGUAAGUGGUACACAUGCCCAGGCACAAACAGAGUCUGCUGUAAUGCCUUUUAAAAAACAGAGUGUAGUUAUUUUUUAAUUUAUCCCUAAUUUACCUUGGGAUUGAGUUGGCCGACCACUUUCAAUGUCUUCCAUUUCAGCAGAGCACAUCUCAGAAGCAAAGUAAAGACCAACUUCUUGACUAUUGGUCCAACGAAAGGAAGGCCUGAAAUGUCAAAUAAUGUGGGUCUUCAUAAGUGUUUGCUGAGAACCUAUCAGAAAGGGGAAGCCUGUGUGUGGUACUUGGGAACAACAUUGAAAAAUUAAUUAUGUAUGUAAAUUGAAUUGACACAUUGACGACUGGAUGAGGUUAGAAGGCUGGUUUGAGGGAACAAUCGGCUGCUAAUUAGGGUUCCCCUCACGAUCGAAUCAGAUUUGCUAUGGGUCUGUCUCUGUAAACUUUUACCUGCAUGAGAAUUCAGUGGUCAGUAAUAAAAUGAGAUUGAAUCAAAGCUGGGAAGUCAGUUCAGUUUAAGUAGCUUUGGAUAAACUGUUGUGUCUUGUUGCACAGAGUAGACUACAUCACUGGCAACAGUCACGCUCACCCAGAAUGGCAGCAGACGCCCUUUUCAGGAAUAAACUUGUUAAAGAAGGUAAAACAGCAAGUAUAAAGGGGAACUUGAAUUUUGCCUUUCUGUCACAUCUUUUGGAGGACAACGCAGCUAUUUGAAUUCUGAACUUCUGUUCAAAUUCUACCACGUUAACAACAUAAGUCAAAAUGCACGUAAGGAUGUAACAGUGAAGAUGUUCCGAGUAGCGUUGUUUACUUUAAUUCAAACUGAACAUAAUAUAAAUAUUUACAGCAAGCAAUUAAGUAAAUGAUAAACACCCGUACAAUCAUACAUUCUUGUGCUAUUAAAGGAGCUGUUUAGAGUCAUGUAUAUGGACAUAUAAAGAUGGGUACUACAGAUUACUAAAUGAAAAAUAAGGCAGUAGGUCUGAUCUUGAUUAUCAUAAUGAUCCCAUUUAAGUGGUAUAUUUUUGUACACUAUUCUUUAGAUGAAAAAAAUUUAUGGGUUGUCUCUCCUAUUUGACCUCUUUCCAUUUCCAUUAAAUUAAUUAUUAAAUUGCUUUUGGUGGAGUUUUAAUGUUUGUUUUCUUAGCUCUGUAAAAGAUAACAUUUACUCUUCUUAAAGAAAGUUAAAAUAUAUGACCCAUUAUUUUCUCAACUCUGUAACUAGUUAUUUAUAAGAAAAGCAAAAAAACAAAAAUUCUUGCCCACAAGAAUAUUCCUACUUUAACGAUGUCCCCGUAAUAAGCUGAAUCUCUUAUGUGUUCUUGAUGGCCAAUCUAGUAUCAGUGGGACUCCAUUAGAGAGUCAAUAUAUAUAUUUUGUAGGAGUAAAUGACAAAGAGGCACCCCUAAUCUGCUUGAGUAAAAGCCAUCUCACCUCCUCUCUCUG